This 709-nucleotide ribosomal RNA is filed under the name uncultured bacterium. Its description in RNAcentral is "bacterial SSU rRNA". It matches the Rfam family "Bacterial small subunit ribosomal RNA", at positions 60 to 769 of the family's 1533-position model. The record is from RNAcentral.
AGUCGAACGAUGAGAGGGAGCUUGCUCCCUGGAUUAGUGGCGAACGGGUGAGUAACACGUGAGUAACCUGCCCUUGACUCUGGGAUAAGCACUGGAAACGGUGUCUAAUACCGGAUACGAACUUCAGCCGCAUGGCUAGGAGUUGGAAAGAAUUUCGGUCAAGGAUGGACUCGCGGCCUAUCAGCUAGUUGGUGAGGUAAUGGCCCACCAAGGCGACGACGGGUAGCCGGCCUGAGAGGGUGACCGGCCACACUGGGACUGAGACACGGCCCAGACUCCUACGGGAGGCAGCAGUGGGGAAUAUUGCACAAUGGGCGCAAGCCUGAUGCAGCAACGCCGCGUGAGGGACGACGGCCUUCGGGUUGUAAACCUCUUUUAGUAGGGAAGAAGCAAAGUGUUUUACAUGGAGUGACGGUACCUGCAGAAAAAGCACCGGCUAACUACGUGCCAGCAGCCGCGGUAAUACGUAGGGUGCAAGCGUUGUCCGGAAUUAUUGGGCGUAAAGAGCUCGUAGGCGGUUUGUCGCGUCUGCUGUGAAAACCCGAGGCUCAACCUCGGGCCUGCAGUGGGUACGGGCAGACUAGAGUGCGGUAGGGGAGAUUGGAAUUCCUGGUGUAGCGGUGGAAUGCGCAGAUAUCAGGAGGAACACCAAUGGCGAAGGCAGAUCUCUGGGCCGUAACUGACGCUGAGGAGCGAAAGCAUGGGGAGC